CUAUACAUGCAGUCGAGCGGACAGAAGGGAGCUUGCUCCCGGAUGUUAGCGGCGGACGGGUGAGUAACACGUGGGUAACCUGCCUGUAAGACUGGGAUAACUCCGGGAAACCGGAGCUAAUACCGGAUAGUUCCUUGAACCGCAUGGUUCAAGGAUGAAAGACGGUUUCGGCUGUCACUUACAGAUGGACCCGCGGCGCAUUAGCUAGUUGGUGAGGUAACGGCUCACCAAGGCGACGAUGCGUAGCCGACCUGAGAGGGUGAUCGGCCACACUGGGACUGAGACACGGCCCAGACUCCUACGGGAGGCAGCAGUAGGGAAUCUUCCGCAAUGGACGAAAGUCUGACGGAGCAACGCCGCGUGAGUGAUGAAGGUUUUCGGAUCGUAAAGCUCUGUUGUUAGGGAAGAACAAGUGCAAGAGUAACUGCUUGCACCUUGACGGUACCUAACCAGAAAGCCACGGCUAACUACGUGCCAGCAGCCGCGGUAAUACGUAGGUGGCAAGCGUUGUCCGGAAUUAUUGGGCGUAAAGGGCUCGCAGGCGGUUUCUUAAGUCUGAUGUGAAAGCCCCCGGCUCAACCGGGGAGGGUCAUUGGAAACUGGGAAACUUGAGUGCAGAAGAGGAGAGUGGAAUUCCACGUGUAGCGGUGAAAUGCGUAGAGAUGUGGAGGAACACCAGUGGCGAAGGCGACUCUCUGGUCUGUAACUGACGCUGAGGAGCGAAAGCGUGGGGAGCGAACAGGAUUAGAUACCCUGGUAGUCCACGCCGUAAACGAUGAGUGCUAAGUGUUAGGGGGUUUCCGCCCCUUAGUGCUGCAGCUAACGCAUUAAGCACUCCGCCUGGGGGAGUACGGUCGCAAGACUGAAACUCAAAAGGAAUUGACGGGGGGCCCGCACAAACGGGUGGAACAUGGGGGUUUAAUUCCAAACCAACGCCGAAGAACCCUUACCAAGGUCUUUGACAUCCUUCUGAACACCCCCUAGAGAAUAGAGNCAUUUCCCCUUUCUGCGGACAGAAGUGAACAGUCGGG
Molecule: ribosomal RNA, 1031 nt
Filed under: Bacillus sp. (in: firmicutes)
Lineage: Bacteria; Bacillati; Bacillota; Bacilli; Caryophanales; Bacillaceae
Description: bacterial SSU rRNA
Rfam family: Bacterial small subunit ribosomal RNA
Source: RNAcentral